Molecule: ribosomal RNA, 229 nt
Filed under: uncultured bacterium
Lineage: Bacteria
Description: partial 16S ribosomal RNA
Rfam family: Bacterial small subunit ribosomal RNA
Source: RNAcentral
UACGUAGGCGGAAAAUUAAGUCAGUAGUGAAAUCCUGCAGCUUAACUGUAGAACUGUUAUUGAUACUGGUUUUCUUGAAUAUAGUUGAGGUAGGCGGAAUGUGUAAUGUAGCGGUGAAAUGCUUAGAUAUUACACAGAACACCGAUUGCGAAGGCAGCUUACUAAGCUAUGAUUGACGCUGAGGUACGAAAGCGUGGGGAGCGAACAGGAUUAGAUACCCUGGUAGUAC